CAGAGGAUAGUUUAGUUAAAAAUUCCAGCUUUGGGAGCUGGGGAUAAAGGUUCGAUUCCUUUUCUUCUGA
This 70-nucleotide transfer RNA is filed under the name Ptilotula penicillata (White-plumed honeyeater). RNAcentral describes it as "tRNA-Pro". It matches the Rfam family "tRNA". Rfam says of the family: Transfer RNA (tRNA) molecules are approximately 80 nucleotides in length. Their secondary structure includes four short double-helical elements and three loops (D, anti-codon, and T loops). Lineage: Eukaryota; Metazoa; Chordata; Aves; Passeriformes; Meliphagidae. The record is from RNAcentral.